RNAcentral lists this long non-coding RNA (878 nucleotides) under Homo sapiens (human). RNAcentral describes it as "non-protein coding lnc-IFT80-9:1". Lineage: Eukaryota; Metazoa; Chordata; Mammalia; Primates; Hominidae. The record is from RNAcentral.
UAUAAGAUAGAAAGAGAAGACUUUCUAUUGGUGCCAGGCCAACUCAGAGUCAGAAGAGGAUGAGCAGAACUCAGAGGAGGUUUGAUUAAAACUGGAAGAGACAAGAGGGUGUAGAACUUGAGGAAGAGGCGCAACAGGCUGAGUGCUGUGGCCCUGUUGGUGGAAGAGAAGGUACAAGAAGAGACCACUCUAGUGGAUGAUCCUUUUCAUAUGAAAAUAGGUGGUAUGGUACCCACCAUACAGGUAUCCACCAUAGUUUCCUAAAGAAACUAAACAAAAGGGACAAAGAUAAAAUCAGUGAAGAGGAAGACACUGGGGACAUUGUUUUCUGCAGAAACCAACUGAAGGGAUGAGAAUGCAGACAUAAUAAAGUACGUUGAGACAGAGCUGAAGAAGAGGAAAGAGACUAUGGAACAUAAGGAACAGAAAGUCAAGCUGAAGAACACAGAGGACUGCCUUUAUGAACUUCAAGAAAACAUUUGUGUUUCCUCAGCAAAGAAGACAGAGGAGAUGCUUUCUAGCCAGAUGCUGAGUGGCAUCCCCAAGGUGGACCUCAGCAUCAAUGCUAAAAUAAAAAAUAAUAUCAUUUCCAUGGAGGAUGCCAAAGCCCAGCUGGGGAAGAACAGCAGAACAAGAAGAAAGACAGUGAGACGUCCUUCGUGCCUACCAACAUGGCUGUGAAUAUAUGCUGCACAACCGACUUUUAUCAUUAGGAGCUCAACAGCCUCAUACAUAGAAACAAAGAAGAGCCUUGAAAGCAGGUGACAGGGAGAAGCCAGAGCCUGAGUGGUCCUUUCCAAAUGGCAAGCAUCCUGUUAAUGAGAAGGCCCCUGAUGACUAUCACUAUGAGAAAAGUUCAAGAAGACGAACAGGCAGUA